GAUCAUGGCUCAGGAUGAACGCUGGCGGCGUGCUUAACACAUGCAAGUCGAACGGGAAACCUUUUAUUGAAGCUUCGGCAGAUUUAGCUGGUUUCUAGUGGCGGACGGGUGAGUAACGCGUGGGUAACCUGCCUUAUACAGGGGGAUAACAACCAGAAAUGGUUGCUAAUACCGCAUAAGCGCACAGGACCGCAUGGUCUAGUGUGAAAAACUCCGGUGGUAUAAGAUGGACCCGCGUUGGAUUAGCUAGUUGG
This 254-nucleotide ribosomal RNA is filed under the name uncultured bacterium. RNAcentral's name for it is "partial 16S ribosomal RNA". It matches the Rfam family "Bacterial small subunit ribosomal RNA", at positions 15 to 252 of the family's 1533-position model. The record is from RNAcentral.